AUGGUGACUGCUGCUGCUGCAGGGGGGGGGUCUGGGAGUAAGGUGAUGGCUGACUUUGCUGACCGUGGCCUGGGGGUUGCUGCGCUUGGGGAGGCAGACCGCCUGCUUGUUGCUGCUGUUGCUGGGGGGGUGCUUGUUGCUGUGCUGGCGGCUGUUCUGGCCCGGGGGGUUGUGAGUACCCAGGUUGGCCUUGGGGGCCCGGCUGAUUCUGAGGGCCAGGGCCCUGUUGCUGUGGCUGCUGCUGUUGAGGCUGGGAGGGGACAUAGGGCUGCUGUCCCGGCUGAGACUGCGGGGGCUGGCUAUAGGAGGGCUGCGCCGCAGAGCCGCCGUGGGGCACCUGGGUCUGUGGAAAAGGGGCGCCUGGCUGCCCGUGUUGGCCCGCAGGUUGGGAUAGCUCCUGGCGGAGCUGGGGGAGGUCAGGAGCUGGUUGAGGGUCGGCGUGGACGUGGGCUGCGGGUUUCCGAUGUUAUACCUCUGGUUAUUAUAGGAUGCAGCCAUAGCCGCCGUGGCUCCCGGUGGCUGCUGCUUGCCUGACUGCCCCCCAGCCGCCGGAGGCUGGCUGCCGCGCGGGGAAUUCAUGCCCCCGUAGCCCUGGCCCUGGUACGAAGUCCUGCCCGCGAACGGACUGUAGUUGUUGUAGCUGUUGGGGUAGCCGUGUUCGUGGGAGUUCGGGGGGUACGGCUCCAUCACGCCCGGCCCCGGUGCAGCUGCCAUGCCAGGGCUUUGUUGUCCGCCAUGUUGAUGAAAAGGGGCCCGGCUGUAGGGCUGGUUGUAAGCGUAGGGCGGUGGAGGGAAGGGGCCCUGGUGGUGGUGGCCCAUUCCGGGGUGGGCAUUCCCCUCCAGUCCGCCCGCAUCGUUCUGGUUGCUGCCGUUGUUGUUGACCCGGGCUAAAGUCCCGUUCUUCAUGUCGGGAUCCCCUCCUCCACCAGCCUCGGCCCCGUCCUGCAGCUCCUUCUGCCGCGGGGAGCCUCCGUCGGCUCCCGCGUCCUUGUUUUCAUGCUGCUUCUCGCCCGGUACCGACUCGUCCUGCGCGUCCCGGUCCGGCUUUUUGAGUUCGGAAGGCGGGCUGGUGUUGAGAGUGGCGACCUGCGCGGCCAUGAUUCCCGGUGUGUCGGUCCUCCUCCGGUGUGUCAGCGCGGCGCCUCACUCGCAGACGAACUCCGGACAACCAUGGAAAAUAAAUACGAUUAUUUCAGCAACGACGUCCCCGCCGUCCCGGUUCAUCCCCCCGCUGCCCUCCUCCCGGACCGAUCUCCGGUAAUCCACGGCGGCUCCGGUAAAGUUGAACUCGCAGGGAAAGUUUUUACAAAAAAGCGGCAUAAAUGUGGAGCGGGGACGUGAAAUUACCGACACGGGUCGGUUUGCGCGUGUGUGUGCGCGCGCGGGUGUUUGUUCAGGGGGGGCUUCUGUUACAGAACGGCAGCGCAAACUCGAAAUCAACCGGACCAGCACGAGGCUCCGCGAGACACAGCCAUCUUACCGACCUGCCGCGAGGAACCGAAAUCCCGGCGCGGAUCGCAGCGACGGCUGGAUCCGGAUCCCAUCCGCGUGCUUACGUCAGAGGGGCAGGGGCGUGGCCAGGACGGGCUAACGGCGGGCGCAGCUUCAGGAGGAUUUAGAAAACCUAAAACGACGUGAAAUCAGAACAUUUCUGCUGGGUUUCUGGCGGAGCCGUAUGGGGACAGACGGACUUUUUUCUGUAGCAAACAGGGGUUCAUGAAUAAAUCUGUUUUUUCAUAACUCUUGUUUCUACGCUGGACCACACACAAACACACACACACUACACAGUGGAGCAGUGAUGAGCACUCUUCCUCAAAGCAACAAGGCCCCUGGUUCAAGUCCUGGCUGGGGGGACCAGAACACCAAUGGGGGACCUUUCUGCAUGUUCUCCCCAUUUCUCUGGCUUCCUUCCUUUCUCUGGCCGGGAUAGGCUCCAGCAGCCCCGUGACCCCAAAAAAUAUACAUGCACACAAGGACACCGAAACCACCUGACGAAGCCCAUCAACCCGCUUAUACCAUGGUCACUCACAAAAGAAAGAAAUAUCCAAUCUGCUUGUAGUACUUUAGUUUUUUGGUUUAAGUCGCUUUUUUCACAAAAAGCGGACUAUUUGAUAUGUAUUGCAGCGUGUUGUCAUGGUAACAGCUGAGCCAGCACCAAGCUCGAGUGCAGCGCCAAAGGAAAAAGAUUAAUGCUGAUGAUCACGAUGUGUUGAAUAAAGCAUCAGUUCAGAGAGAAAGUUCACGUCUUACCGCCUGUUUUUGUGCAGAUGAUGAAGCUAAAGUUUGUUUGGUAGAAGCCAGCGCAGUGAAACCAAAAAUUUAAGCUAUGUGACCGGAACUACUUUUUUAGGCGUGCGGUUAUCACUGUGCAUGAUCACAUUUAUACUGUGGCCCGGGUAAAUACUCUAUUCUGAUUGGCUGCUGGGUGUGCGUUAAAAAGUGAUAAACAACAGUGAUAACCGCAUGGUGAAAAAAGGAGUUCCGGUCACCUAGCUUAAAUUUUUUGUUUCAAUAAGCGGUAAGACGAGAACUUUCUCUCUGAACUGAUGCUUUAUUCAAACCAUCGGAAAGAUCAGCAUAUAUAUCGCCGAGUCUCGACUGCAGCAGUGGUACGGUGCGACGCAGACUAUUUGUUACGCCGCACCACGUAACAAAACUGGUUACUAUAUUUUAUUUUUGUAAGUGACCAUGGUGUAAGCGGGUUAAUGGACUUCAAAGUAUGCAUUAUUACUUUUUAACACACUUCGCGGAAGCAACAGCCCAGCGGAGGAGGGUUCAGGCUUCCACAGCGUGCAUUAAAACGUGAUAAUGCAUACUUCGUCAACCAUUAACCCUUACUUAAUCCACACCCAGCAGCCAAUCAGAAUCAAGUCUUUACCCAGACCAUGGAAUAAAAAGUGAUAGUGUACACCUAAAAAAGAAGUUCCGGUCACAUAGCAUGAAUGUUCUGUAUCACUGCGCCUGCUUCCUUAAAACUUAAAUUUUAUCAUCUGGACAAAAACAGGCGGUAAGACCUGAACUUUCUCUCUGAACUGAUGCUUUAUUUAACACAUCGUGAUCAUCAGCAUAUAUAUCUAUUUCCUUUGCCGCUGCAGACGAGGUCGGCUAAGCGGCACCACGUAACAACUAGUCGGCUUUUGGUGAAAAAAGCAAACCAAACCGUAAAAAUAAAAAGAGCAAAGGACUAAAAACUGGUUGAAUAUUUAUUUCUUUUGUAAGUGACCAUGGUAUAAGCGGGUUAAUGGCCUUCAAAGUUUGCAUUAGUCCGACGCGAAGCGGAGGACGGUUCAGGCUUCCAUGUGAUACGUUAAUUUCUGAUAAUGCACACUUCAUCGGCCAUUAACCCUUACUGAAUCCACACCCAGCAGCCAGUAUUAUUCACCCGGACCAUGGUAUAAAUGUAUGUUGCUCGCCAUUUUUGCUGCACUGCUAAUGUUAGGUUGGUGUUCUGAGAGGCUGUAAGCUAGCGGGAGAGAGUGUACAAAAAGGCAUGAUGGGAUAUCAGUGGAGGCUUACUUCCACGUCAACAGUCCCGCCCACAGCUCAGAGAUGACUUUCUAAUCUUCUCCUGCCGCUUUGCAGACACUAUGUCCAAGAAAACAACAGGUUUUUAGAUUUUGGCUAAAAACAGCAGAAUCAUAAAUAAAAGACCACUUCAAAAGUAGAUUAGGAAAUGAUUGGAGAGGGACUUUAAAGACUUUCAGUUUUAAUUUUUCUUUUAUUUUGCUUUUCAUUGAUGUGAGUUUGAGAGUUUUUAUUGUCACAUUUAUACUAUUUAGAGCAUUUAA
Molecule: long non-coding RNA, 3788 nt
Filed under: Oryzias sinensis (Chinese medaka)
Lineage: Eukaryota; Metazoa; Chordata; Actinopteri; Beloniformes; Adrianichthyidae
Description: lncRNA (ENSOSIG00000017603.1)
Source: RNAcentral